UUUGAGAUUCUGUUUCACAGUCUGUGUUUAUAUAUGUGUCAGGUCCGUCAGGUGUUUGAAAAGUAUGGUAAUGUCACCGAGAUCAUCCUACCCAGAGAUAAGAUGAGCAGUGAACGAGCAGGUGACUUGAGGAUGUUCUUUUUACUGAUCAUCCUUGCUUCUUGAGAUUAGCUUAUAACAAUCCUCUUUUGCAGCUUACUGUUUUGUUAAGUACAGAAAGUUAGAAGAGGGUAAUGCCGCUAUUGCAGCUUUAACAGAUCAGUAUACCUUUCCUGGGGUGGGUCUUCGCUUCUAAACGUUUCUUCACUGACGUAUGAUUCUUUUCAAAAGGUUUUUAUAUAUUUUCAUUACUUCAGGAAAUGUCUCCAGUUCAGGUUAGAUAUGCCGGCGCAGAACGUGAGCGGAUUGGUAAAGAUUGCUCUUUCAUGCUCUUAAGAAAAUAGAAAGUAACUAUACUAAGACAAAAUGAUUGGAAUGGGAACUUUUGAAAAACAAAAAUCAUGUCCGACAACUUACUGACUAGUGAGUAUUUGAUUUCUCAUUGCCUCUCCUUCUCCCUCUCAUUUUGUAUAUUCUGUUUCCAUCUUGAGUUUAGGUGUUUCAACAGUGCAAAUUCCUGAUAAAUUAUACGUUAGAUGCCUUAACAAACAAACAACAAAGACGGACGUCCAUGAGGUAUCGUUGGAGUCCUUUUUCGUUUUUGAUUUUCAUUUGAUCUGAAUUUUAUUUUUUAUUUUUUCAACAGUUAUUGUUAUGUUUCAUGCCUGGUUUCAUUUUGAUGUGAACAGUUUGUCCUCUUUUCAGGUGUUUUGUAGGUUUGGAGUCAUUGAAGAUAUUUAUAUGGCAGUCGACGACAUGAAGGUUAGCCGUGGUAUGUCCUUCGCCCUUAAGAUAUUAAUUGUACUUGGUAAACUGUUAUGUCUGUUUGUCUUUGGACAAACACUUGGGAAACAUCAUUUUAUAUAAAUGCCAGGGAACUAUCUAUAUGCAACUCGCUUUAAUACCUUGCUCUUAGCUAAUUUAUUAGGUCUCUGCAGGGUUUGCAUUUGUUCAGUUUUCUCGGAAGGAGAUGGCACUAGCAGCAAUCAAAGGGUUAAAUGGAGUAUUUACCAUGCGGGUAUAGUUCACAUACUUCUUUUUUGUUGAUUGUUUCUCAGUGCCUCAGUGUUUAUUUGAUCACUUCCUUCGUCUUUCCUUUCAGGGUUCUGAUCAGCCUCUGAUUGUUAGAUUUGCAGACCCUAAAAAACCUCGUCUAGGGGAACCAAGGUUCUACUCUUUGCUUUUCCUUUUUUUUUUUAUGUUAUUUAUUUGAGGAUUUGCCUAGUUUUCUUUUGAAUUGCAAAGUCAUCUUCUUGGUUCUUACACUUUAAACUUACCGGUGUCACCCCCCUAUGGUUGUGUCACUUAGCUAUAGUUCUUGAAGGAUUUGCUUUCAAAAGUUUUGCAGUAGCACUAAUACAAUCCUGAUAUCACUCCAUCAUCUCAACAUUAUUUCAAUGGUUAUGUGUCUUCAGGUUUAACUUUAACGCUCCACCUGCAAUGCAACAAUACGACCCAAAUUGGCACCCACAACCAUAUCCCCAAUGGGGAAACAAUGAACAUGCAGCUCCUAGAUUCGUUGAUUUCGCUUCUCAGCCAAAUCACUUCCCGCAGCAAAAUGCUCAAGCAGUAUCCGAGUUUCAACAACCGCUGCAUCAGAAAUCUGAGACUGCCAGCGUGAAGGUACUCCUUUUGUAGUAGGAUCUUAUUGCUAAUGGUAGACGGAUAUUGAACUCUGGACCAUGAGUUUAUUUAUAUAGAGGGGUUUAGGUUUUCAUAAAUCUCUUAUUCACGCAUCUGCUUCAUCUUCAUAUCUAUAACUACUUUUGUGUAGACUAGAAGCGAUGGUCAGAAGAUUUCUAGUCGUUCAAAUGCCAUCCAUGAAGAUCAAAAUACAGAAGAAUGUGACUGGAGUGAGCACACUUGUCCUGAUGGGAACAAGUAUUAUUUCCAUUGUGUCACUUGUGAAAGCACGGUAAUACUUUUUUUCCCUCUUUCAUUGUGCACUCCACUCAAGCAAUUUGUCUAGUUAGUUAAAAUGAUUUAUAUGGAUGGAGCACACAGUGGGAGAAACCAGAGGAGUACUCCAUGUUUGAGAGAUGGUUCGACGAGCAAAUAAGGCUACAAGAUCAAAAUAUUGCCAAGAGCCAAGAUGCAAUAAAAAACACCCAGCAAGAUGAGUCUACUCUAUUGGAACAGACUACUAAACUCCAACAACAAUCCUUAUCCACAGCGGUUAGAUAUAUCAUUUCUUGACACACUUGGACUUCCAUAUAGUUAGUAUCUUCCUACAAGAAGAGUAGACUCCAUCCAAUCUUUCAUCUGAUGUGUGUGUUUCCAGGAUCAGGAGAACAAUUCAGUAUAUCCGGUAGUAACAAGAGUGAGUGGCUGUUGAAACGUCGUGUCCAUAAAAAUGUCUCAGGUAAUUAAUUGAACAGUUGAUUCUCUCUCUGUUUAUUAAAAGGACGCUAAAUACUACAUCUCACAAGAUCUUAUAUCAUCCUUCUUAUGUUUCAAUACAGGACAAGUCACUAAACAAGUAUUUUGGAAAGGGGAUUCAAAAAAAAGUUAAGAAAAGAAUAGACCUGAGUUUAAAGAAGUUGAUUUCUUCAAGAAUGGGAACAUUUGGUAAAUAUUUGUUGGAAUCCAAUAGAAAAGGGGUGUGAUGAGAGUGGCAUAAACUUUGGGACUUGUGAAAAACCAUAGGGACCACUGAUGAUGAUGAUCCAUCUAGAGAGAUGUAUGUUUGGUUUAGAAACCUCUGCACCUUAUAGUCUCUCACAUUUGCUCUAUUGAUGAUGUCCACCACACCUACCUUAAAAAAAAACGCUUUCAUGGUCAUUCACGCAUUUGAUAUGAAUCCCACCAGAUAUCUUAGUUGGAUUAUAUUUGAAAAAUAUUUACUAUAAAUCGACAACUGCAAGUUAACUAAAAGUUGGAGUUUAUAAGGUAAAUAAAACCACCUAUAAUUUCCACCUGAUCCGAACCAAAAACUAAAAUCCAUUUCACAUUUCAAAGUGCCUCUGGGCGAAAGAGAGGGUUCCUCAUCGUCAAUCAAUCAUGUUCCUUUUAAAAGGCCCAAAUAGAUUUGCAGACCAAAGAAAGAAGCCACUUUCUUUGCAGAAACAAACAUCAACUUACUCUCCAUCAGCUAACGAACAAGAAAGAAGCACAAGGUAAGUGUUAAGUUUCUCGGUCCUGUCUAGAUCGGUGAUUUAUGGAUCUCAUAGAGAUUAGAUUAUUCCCUGCAGAAGCUAACCGCUUUUCGAAUCUGAUUGUUCCUAUUGAUUGUCUUCUCCUAGGUGGUUGGGAUCUAAAAGCUGAUGGCGAAGAUCAAGCCUCAAGCUCUAUUGCAGCAAAGCAAGAAGAAGAAAGGACCUGCUCCUAUUAGCAUAACCAGCAUCGUGAUUUACACCUUGGCCGUGCUUUUGGUCGUCUUCGUCCUCUUCUCCGCCUACAAACGUUGGACCCUCAGGUUCGGUUCUCUAUCAAAAUUCAGAUUUGAUUCUAUCACUAUUAGUUUAGAGAAAUUAUUCUAAGAUGUGAAAAAAUGACUUCUUGUGGGCUUACAGAUCUGAGAUCCCAACCCACAAUGGUAGAUCACUUCUUCAGGUUACUAUUAUUCUCUCUGUCUAUGUCUUCUCAUAGUUAUACCCCCCUCCUUUGUCAAAUGAUUGUCUUGUUGUUGUGUAGGAUCCAGCCUUCCCUGGAGUGAAGAAGAAUACUAAUCUCCCAUGGUUUGCUGUGAGUUUCAUUAUCAUCCCCCCAAUUAUAUUUAUACCCCUAUGUCUUCUCUUUGUUUUUUUCUGAAUCUUUUCCUCUCUGUUUGUUGAACUCUAGACCUUGGAUACUGGCAAAGGUUCAGUGACCAUUCAACUAUUCAAGGAUGCUGCUCCCAACGUUGUUGACGAAUUCAUCAACUUAUCGUAAGCAAUAACUUCACACUACUGUAUUUGCUUUGCCAUUUCUUUUUUAACACAAUGUUUUGUCAUUGGUAUUUGCAGUCAAGAUGGGUAUUUCAAAGGUUUCUCAUUCAGUAGAGUUGUAAAGCAUGCUGUGAUUCAAGCUGGCCACUCUGCUCAGUUCGAUGCUGUCAAAGAUUGGGCUCUCCAAAGGAAUAAUCUUCAUACCAGGUUUGCUGCUUACUACAUUGUUAGCAAAUAAAAUAUAUGGAGAAAAAGCUUUGGCUUUUUGGUUUCUGGCUGAUUAUGGGGAACUCUUUCUAUCAUCUGUCUUGAUGCAGUUUAAAACAAGAAGAAUACAUGGUGGGAACCCCUAAAGCUAAAAACGAGCAAGGAGGAUUUGAGUUUUUCAUUGUAUCUUCUCAGAUCACAGACCUCAAUGAGAAAUUGACAGUCUUUGGUCGAGUUGUGAAGGGACAAGACGUUGUUAAGGAGAUCGAGGAGGUUGAGAUAGAUGAGCAUUAUCAACCAAAAGCACCAAUCGAGAUCAUGUCCGUCACUUUGCUUCAAGACAUGUGAAACCUGCUUUAUUACUUCUUUGUAUUAAAAAAAAACUCCAAAGUGAUUCUUGAUGUAUUAAUGCUUUGUAAUUUGAAUACUUUCCAUCACCUCAUUUGCAACUUUGUGGUAACACAAGUUUUAAGUUUCUAUCUUCUGUAUAAUUCUCUCGUAGCUAGUAAACAACACGUGUGACAUUUAAAAGAUAUUCGAGAGCUAAAACAAAAAGGUAUCGCUAAUGUUUUUUACACAUGAUGAUACAAGGAGGAUACUGUAAAAAACACUUGAAAUCAACUAUCCCAACCAGAUCUCCUUUUCCUCUCUCUUGGCCGAUCUUCAGAACUGCAACAGUAGGGUCAAAUAAUGUCAGCCAACUCUAAAGAUUAUAAAUCAAACCUUACAAGAAAACAGUGCUGCAACUAAUAGGAAACAAACCUCUGUGUAUUCUUUUGACUCGAGUGAUGACUAGUUGCUACUGGGGGAGUUUGAGUUUGAGCUCUACCCAUGUCCCCACCAAUGGCCCCACCUGAGACAAAUCCCGUUAGGGCGGGUCUCUUGUUCGGAUAAGCUUGGUUUGAUGGCGUAGCAGCCACAAAGCUAUUCUUGAAUUGGGCCAUUACUCCGGUUCUCACAGAAUUGAUCACCCCUUUCUACUUGGUGCAGCUUGAGACGAUGUCCCACUUGAUUCCGAGUUAAAUCCAAUACCAAGACCAAAAUCAACUCCUCGUACUCCUCUAUUUCCACCACCUCGUCCUCCACCUUUCUUCCCACCUAUGUAACAAGAGUUUUAGAGAUCAUGCACAUGUUUUUGAAUGGAUUGGCUCAAUUCACUUGACAAAACGCAUGUGCAAAGAAAAACAUUGAUCACAGUCUUUUCCCUUUUGGAUCCAAAUCUAAUCAUAAGGUUUCCGUCCGCAGAAUGCAUAAUAAUGAAUAUAGCUAAAGUAUGCUUACCUCCUUUUCUUCCGUCACGCUUGGACUUGAAUCGUCCAUCCUAUUGAUUUGCAAAGGUAAAUUUCACUCAACAAUCAUGUUUUCGUUUUAUGCAAAAUAACAAUCAUAUUGGAGCUAGUAAGUUGAGCAAUCAUAGGAUACUGAAAGAUAGAAGCAAUGAUAUUUAUUGCAUAUAUCAAUAGAAUGAUGUCAAUGAAAAGGAGCUGUUAAUAUUACCUUCAUGGCGAGAUCCAUGAGUUCUGGAGGCACAUUCUGACCAGCAGCAACCAGACUGUUAAUCAGUUCACCAGCAAAUCUAGCCUCUCUCUGCGUAACAAGUGUGUAGGCAACCCCAUCUUUGUCACCAGCACGACCUGUUCUACCAAUACGAUGUACAUGCAUGUCCAUGUCUUUAGCAGUGUCGUAGUUAACCACUGUCUUAAGCGAUUUAAUGUCGAGACCUCGGGCAGCAACAUCGGUGGCAACUAGCACAUGGUAGAUUCCAGAUUUGAACUUCUGCAACGUUUCCAUUCGUGAUGCUUGGUCUUUAUCACCGUGAAGGGCAGCAACUUUAAAACCGUUCAGAGUCAGCUGCGCUUCGAUCUCAUCAACCGUGGCCUUUUUAGAAGCGAAAACCAAUACAUCACCUUCAUCAAUCAUUCCAGGUAGCUUCUCAAGUAGCCAAGGAAGUUUGUCAGCAUCUGAUGGUAUCACAUUGACAACCUGUGUAAUAUCUUCAUUAGCCAUCCCAGCUUCACCAACAGUGACUCUAAUGGGAUCCGAAAGGAUCUCCCUAGCUAACUUUUCAACUUUCCAAGGCAUAGUGGCUGAAAACAGUAAAGUCUGGCGAUCUGGACGAAUCUGGCCAACGAUAGACCUCACUUGCGGCUCAAAACCAAGGUCAAACAUCCGAUCAGCCUCGUCAAGAACCAGAUACGAGGCUCUCAUCAUUGUCAAAGCCUUCAUCUUCAGCAUAUCUAUCAACCUUCCAGGAGUAGCAACAACUAUCUCGCAUCCCGCCUUGAGUUCUUUCAACUGCUCAUGUUUCCCCAUUCCACCGUACACAGCUGAGACUCGUAAGCCAUACGCUUUCGAGAAUUUCUUCGCUUCCAAGAAUAUCUGAUGCGCCAGUUCUCUAGUUGGCGCACAUAUGACACCAAUAGGACCUUCUUCUCUCUGAAGCUCAGGCUGGUCCAUAAUAUGCACAAUCAUGGGAAGAACAAAAGCUGCGGUCUUCCCUGAACCAGUUUUGGCUAUGCCAAUAACAUCUCGACCAGAGAGCACAACCGGUAAAGCUUGACACUGUAUGGUUGUUGGUUUCUCAUAAGCUUGUUUCUUGAUAGCACUCAUGAUCUGUGUGGAAAAACCACAAUCCUCAAAGGUCUUUACUGCCUUAGGAACAUCAAAUCCGGACACACGAAUCCCCAAACUCUUACGAUAAUCCAAAGCUUCUUGUUCACUCAUCCCUGGACCAAUAAGAAUUGAUCAGUUGAGUCAAUCUAAACACACAAAAUAAACUCAAUUUCGAUAAAACUUACUGGCUAUUGAUUCAACCUCCUCGUAGAAGUCCUUAUUGAUCGGUUCGUAAUCAAUUGAACUAUGAUCAAGAGCUUGAAUCGGCUCGAUCUUCCUUUUAUCCACAACAAUCGGAUUAUCAUCGGAAUCGAACUCCAGCAUCCCCGCAUCUACUGCCUUAGCUGCAGCAUACACCUCCUCGUCGGAGUUGUAACCUGCGUUAAGCGCGUCCGCAGCUAGCGUGAGCCCCAAAUCCUUCUUGGCCUUGAGGAAACUCACGACAUGAUCGUCGUCUUCGUCGUCCUUGUACCUCUCUACUUUCUCCUUUGGCUUGGGAGGUGGAGCAGCCUUCAUCUCCUCGUGGAUUCCCUUCAUGAAUGCGUCUAGUGGAUCGAUCUCGUCGUUAGCAGAUGCAGAGGCGCCGUUGUCAACGUCGUCUUCUUCAUCCUCUUCGUUUUCUGUAAAAUCAAUGUUAUCUACAUCGGCGUCUUCUGAGUUAUCUCCGCCGCGAAACCUCGUAGAGUUCCGAAUAGACAUGACUUCGAAUUUUCCCGGCGAUAUGAUUUCCCCGGAGGAGUUUCGCCGACUUGUCGAAGUUUAUAUGAUUGGGCAAAUACUGGGCUUCAUUACGUACUUAGUUCAUGGAAAGCCCAUAUAUGUCUUUACAUCGUUAAAUUUCUUCCAUAUGAAACGCGAAAGCUGGAUAUUCCAUCAAUGUAAACAUCAUCUUCAACAAAUAAAAGCAGUAUAUUGCAGACUUCACCUUUGAUAAUCAUCAUGCACUCAGUAGCCCAAAUCAAGGCUUUACAUUUUGCAUGCAAAAGCAAUAGGCUUUGUCGUAUAUUCAUCGACCCCAUGAUCUUGACAGUUGAAUCCCCUGUGAAUGAAAACCAACUUUGUCCAUAGGAUUUAUCUUUUUCCUUCCAUGAAGCAUCUACAUAACACCAUCGCACAUCCUUCAUUGUUGUCCCGGUGGCACCACAUAAAAUUUGCUGUUAUUUUCAAUUAUGUAAGUUGUGCCUCGGCCUAGAAGGUACCCUCAAAGUUUGCGACACACAAAAAGUUAUGCAUGAGCAAAACAUAUCUAUUUAUUUAUAUUAUAAUUAGUAAAGUGAUUUUUCGCAUUCAACUUUCUCGUUCAAAAGUUAGACUAGUUAGUAUCUUUUAUACUCUUAAUGAAUAAUUAAUUUUAUUUAUUAUAUUUGUUAACAAUUAUUUAUCUGUAUUUUUUAUUAAAUUUUGGACAAUAACAUAAUAAAUAAUUUUUAGAUAAUGGUAAUAUAUAAUUGAAUUUCUUUUUCGUUCCAUUAAUAUUUAUACAAACUUAUUAUUAUAUAAAACAAUAAAUACUCUUAUAUAAAUAUACUUUUUCUAUGAUGACGAAUUAUUUACAAGUUCGAUCAGGUUAAACUGCAAAAUUUAUUUGUAUUUGUGUACACAUAAUAUUAAAAUUAACACCACAAUUAUUUAGUGUUCUACUGUCCAAAAAAAAAAAUAUCCACAUAAUCACUUCUAAAAAUUUCAAACUCAAACAAACCAACAAAUCAUAAUGUUUCUUUCCAGCGAGUUCAAUAAGUGUUGGUUCACUUCAAGCAUAUUUGCUUUGAUUAAAGAAUCUUGGGUUGUUAUACGGACAAAGCUCUAACAAUAUGUAAAUAAUUUUUUGAAACAUUAGAUAUAGCUAUGAGAGAUCUAUUCAAUUGUGAUAAUAUAUGUAAUAAUAACUAUUUAUAAAAUGAUUAUGUCUGCAUAUGCUGGCAAAACACCUAAUCAUCAAGUAAUCUAAAAAAAAUAUGCAUGAAAAAAUAUAUAUCAUCAAGUGUUAACUUCUAAUACUAUCUUAAUAAAAAAAUGUAAAAUUUACCCAUAUAUAUCCGAUUUUUUUAUCGAGUAGUUAUUUUAUUAAAUUAAGUUUUGAUAUAUGAUAAAAUUGUUAAUCCCUUCAUUUAUAAUUUACAUGCAAAAAAAAACAAUGUACUUCAUCGUUUAGCCUCUUUAGUUAAAGAGUUGGUAAAUUUAAGAAUAUGAACUAUGCUAAACAUCUAAAGAUAAUCAUGCAAAAUCGGAAAACUAGUUAUGAAAAGAAAAUCCUACAAUGUAUUUACUAACAAAACUUUUGAAAAAUCUCAUUGGAUAUGUCAUCAAGUAAUUAUGCAUGUGCAAAACAUAUCAACAAGUAUUAAUUUCUAAUACUGUCUUAAAAAAAAUUAUUAAAAUUUACCCAUAUAUAUCCAACUGUUUUGUAUCGAGUAUUUAUUUUAUUAAAUUAAGUUUUGAUAUAAUAAAAAUUUGAAAAGAUAAUUUUAUCCCGUCAUUUAUAAUUUACAUGCAAAAAACAGCAUAUAUACAUCGUGGUUUAGCCUCUUUAUUUAAAGAGGUGGAAAAGAUAUUGUGAAUUUAAAAAUAUGAACUAUGCUAAACGUCUCAAAAUAAUCAUGCAAAAGCAAAAAACUAGUUAUGAAAAGAACACCAGAUAAUCUAUAGGUUUUCAGUUAUAUCUAUCAAAUCUAAGCAGUAUAUUUCAAGACAGAUUGAAGAAAUGUGAAUCUUACUUAUAUGUACGAUAUUACCCAAAAUAAUAUUAUUAUUUCUAGAAAAAAUUCAGACGAUCCAACUCUAAUUUGAGUCUUAUGGCUUCACCCUAAGUCAAGUGCUGGGCACAAGUCAUGCACUUGCUAUCUUUGAUACUUAAUUUGUUUUGUGUGAGUAAUAAAAAUUUGGACUUGGAACUUGACUUGUUGAAAAUGAGUACUUACUAUUUCAAACACCUGCUCAAAAUUAAGUUAUUUCUUACGAUCUAUUAAUUGCUACGUGCAAGUACUCCAGAAUAUUUAAAAUGAUUUGAUAAAUAAUAUUCUACUAGAAAUGGAUACGAAAAUUUAUUUUAUUUACUUACAAAGAAAGAACAUAACAAUUAUUAUAAGCGAAGUAUUUAUAAGGAAGAAUUAACAAAAACAUGAAUCUCUCCAUAUACCAACAUUUUUUACUUCUCACAACAACAAAAAUGUUUUCUUUUGACAAGUAAGAAGUAAUAUUAAACCGAGUAACUAUUUUCAUAUUUGUUACUACAUUGUAUUAUACGUACAAAUAUCUAAAUUCUAUUAUUUGAGUCUGGGUAACAAGAACGAGUAACUAAAAUAUCGAGAUGGAUACGAAAUAAGUAACAAGUAUAAAACAUAAGACGUCGAAUAUCCAAUGAUUACGUCCGGCCUUAGGUUACCAAACCAUGAUGUAUGAGGAGGCAUUAUCUUUUUUUUUUCUUUUUUAACGUCUGAAUUGAUUCAAAUAAAAGGGAGGUAUGAACCUCAAAUAAGUAACAAAAGCCUUAGAUAACUAAGGAGACGAAACAAAUAACGAGUAUAAGAUGAUGAAUAACCAGUAAUUGUAUCCAGUCCUAGAUUACCAAACCAUGAUGCACAAGACAUCACAUCUUAUUUUGUAAUUGUUUUUUUGUUUCGUUAUUCUUUUGUAAUGGCAUCAAGUGGAAGGAGAACACGUGACGUUGAGGGACAUGACACAGUAAGGCAGGAUGGGCUAACAUACACGCCGGAAAUAAUCUUCUUAACAUGCGCACCUAGAGGUCUAAAAACGCCCAAAAUAAACGCAGCAGAGGAGAGAAAGAAGGAAAGAGAUAUGAGUGGAGUCGAGUUACGAAAUGAGUCGGCUCAGCGAGUCUACUACAUCUGUCCAAAGGGAGGGAGGGGGGGAGGGAAAGGCAAAAACAAACCCUUAUGUAACCGAUAGAAAAGGGAUCUUUAGAUUUUAUCCCUUUUUUGGAUGGGUGUUGAAAUAGCACAACAAAUGGUGAAGGAUGAGGAGAUUAUUACUCUCUCCCCUCUUUACUUCUCCUUCUCCUCUUCCUCUCCCGUCUCUCGCCCUAACCCUAAUUCUCCCUCGAUUCAAUCCUCCUUCUUUUCCCCAAAUCCCACCUUUGGGGCUUCCUUUCAUCCUCCUGAUUCGGCGAUCUAGGUAUUCUCUGCGGUUGAUUGUUUCCUGAGAUGAAUCGUGUCUGUUUAUCGUCAAGUUUGUUUUUUUCUGUCUUCAUACUCUUCACAGGACAGCCUUUCGUUUGAUUUUGAUUCGAUCAUUUGAUUUUGGGUUCAAUCCAUCGAAUAUUGUGUUGAUCUUCUCGUCUUGUGUUUAUCAGUUUGAUCUGAUGUUAUGGAUUUCAAUUCUCGUUACCAAAGCUUCUCUCUUUGUGAUCUCAUUGCAUGUCGAUCAUUUGUGUAUUGGGUUCUAUUCAUCUAAUAUUAUGUUGAUUCGCCUUUAGGAGUGUUUUCUUCUCGUCUGUGUGCGUCUCCGUUUGUUUGAUUUGGGCUUCUGAUCAUUUGAAAGCUUCUCUCUUUGUGAUCCCUCUAUAUACUUGGAUUGUUCUAAUGCAUCACAUGUUUUGCUUCGCAGUGUUCCCACCUUGGAGUGAGAGUGUAUUGGCCUCUCUGUAUACUCUACAAUGGGCGAUAAUGGUGGUGGUUCUCAUUUUGAUGCUAUCAAGAAUACCGUGAGGAAGAAACGCAGCCUUAUUCCUCGUCGUCCUCGCACUGAAGGAUUCAGUCUUUUCACACCUCCACAUCACUUCUCGAGUGAUGAUAUACCCGCAUUUGAUACUAACCCUAGAAGGAAAGAGUUUAGUCUUAGCCAUUGUAUAUCCAGGGCUGAUUCCCAAACAGGAAACAAUGAUUCUCUGCAGAGAGAGGCAACUGAUUUGGGUGAAAGGAAGAGAAUGAAGCUUAAGAUUGGUGGUGUGAGUCGUCUGGCUCAUGCUAAUGGUUCACCUCGAAAGUCUUCCAAACCGGUGAAUGCUACUACUACCAACCAUUUGGAGGUAAUAUUAUCCUACUUUGACAAAGCUCAAGUUGUUUGAAUUGUCUUGAGAUUUAUCAUCCUUUUGCAUUGAGUAUCUUUUGCGGUAAAUGCCAUGCUCUUUUCAGUAAAUUCUACUCUUUUUUGGGGGGGCCUUACGGCCCAUAAUCUUUCGGGUUUGGGGGACUAGACUAGGUUUAGUAAGCUUAAACUAGUGUGAUUUGCUGUUUUGGGACAACAAUUAGAAUAAUGUUUAGUAUUUUGCAUUUAACUUUUAUUAUUCCGGAAAGGAUUAGAUUGUGUCUUAAUAUCUUUGCUACACUUUUUCACAGAUUAGAUACCACAAACUCAUUAUCUUUUGACAUUUAAUGGCAGGAAAGUUCAGCAGAUUGUAACUCCCCUCUAGAUAAGAAGGCUGAUCUUGAGAAAGACGAAUCCAUGACAGGGAGGAGAAAACAAGGGGAACCAGGUGGCUCGGUUCGCAAGAGCAAACGAGCCCUUAAGAAGCAGGUUUCUGAUAGCGAUGAUGACAAUGAUGGUGAGCUCCGAUUUUUGGAAACGCUCAAGGUUAAGCCACCUGGGGUUACAAUUGGGGGAAAUUCUGCAUCUGAAAAGGCUUCUGAUGACAUGGAUGCGGAGGAACUUGAUCCAGUGCCUGAUGGAAUAGAGAUUGGCAACGAGAUUAAGAGGGAAUCGACUAUGACUAGUCGCCAGCGAGCCCUUGCUUCUGCAUCUGGCAAAUCAACCCCAGUUGAAUUUCAAGAUGGAUUACCUCCUACAUCGAGAAGUAUGCUUCUUUUUUCUUUGGCUUUUAGAUUCACGAGUAUGCAUCUUUUUUGCAAUAAAGGUUGGUAAUGUAUUGUGAUGAAAAUUUCUGUUGAAAAAUAGGGAAAAGAGAGAAUCUUUCAGAGAUGGAGCAGCAAGUGAAGAAGGCUGAAGCUGCUCAAAGGCGAAAAGUGCAGGUUGAGAAGGCUGCAAGGGAGUCUGAGGUUGGUGUUUUACUCUCUCUCUCUCUCUCUCUCUCUCUCUCUAUGGUGAUAUACAGAUUUAAAAUGUAUCGAAAUCCAUGUGAGGGAUGAUGGUCUUGAUUUUGUGUCUACAGGCAGAGGCGAUCAGAAAAAUUCUAGGCCAAGAUUCGAGCAGGAAGAAGCGUGAAGACAAGAUUAAAAAGCGACUUGAUGAAAUUGCUCAGGUAUUGGGAAAUGCACGACUAUGCUGUUGAUGCGUUAUAUAUUUGAGUAAAACUGAGAUGCUGAAUGUUUGGUUGUCAUAUAUGCUAUGAAUUGAUGAUAACAGGAGAAAGCUGCGCAUGAGGAAAGGGUCUCUACAAGCUACAUCAGAACAAUAAUGGGUCCUAAUGGAACCACUGUUUCAUUUCCCAUUGACAAAGUGCCUAGCCUGUUCGAUCCUAAACCAUCCGGGUAUGGUGUUUCCUCUGUUCUUUCUCACAAACUCAAAUCAGACUAGUUCAUGAGUCAAUGUCCCUAAUUUCAUAACUGAUUUGAUCUGAUCAAUGUGAACACCUAUACAUGAUUCAAAUGUUUUUUUGGUAUGGAGGAAGGCUCUAGAGUUCGGCUUCUUUUGUUCUUUGGAUUCUGUUUUGUAUUCUAACGUUUCAUAAAAACAUAACGAGUAGUUCAAACCUUUGUGAUAACAAUGUAAAGCAUUUUGUGUAUCUGCAGUUAUCCUCCACCGCGAGAAAACUGCGCGGGUCCAUCGUGCACCAAUCCGUACAGGUAUCGUGAUUCAAAGACUAAGGUUCCUCUGUGCAGCCUCCAAUGCUACAAGGCGGUUCAGGAGCAGCAGCAGCAGCAGCAGCAGACCUCUGAACCAGCAACCGACCCCACCCCACCACCGGAGCAGACCUCUGAACCAGCAACCGACCCCACCCCACCACCGGUUUAGAUAGUGAUUGUUUUUUUUUCUGGAUAUAAAAGGACAAGAACUUAGAGCGUUAUCAUUGUUGCAGUGAGGAGCUUCUUAGCUUCCUCAUUUUAUUACAUGCAGACUACAUGAUUCAGUAUAUUUUACUUUACUUCAGACUUAUCUGAUCGGAGAGUUCAGUUUUCUUUUGUGGCCGUCCAUUUAUUUUUUACCAAACCAUUGCCGCUCAUAUAAUUUUAUUCUCCAACGGCUAUCUCAGUUCUUUAAUAAUAAAAUACAUGAUACAAUGUGCUCUCUAUUAUUAGAAGCAAUCUUCAUGGUCAUGUAGUUUACAGUGCAUCGUGAUUCUUAGCUUUGUUUACGUCUCUAAUGAUCAUAACUUCCGUUUUCUUAAAAUUAUCUCUUUUUUUGUUAAAGAAAUGGUUAAAUCCAGUUCUAUUAAAAAACACCUAACUUUCGAGUGAGAAAAUUAUCUUUCUCCCAUAAGAAUCCAUACAUAACACAUAAAUACAAAUACAAUAGUGUUCAAAAUAGUGUUCUAGGCUGCUGCUUAAAUGAUGUCUAGGCACUUGGCUCAAAAAUACUGGAGUCCAUUUUUUGUCUCAAUACUGUGAAAAUUACUUUAUUUUCUGCCACAAUAAUUAUAUACUUUAUUUUCUCAAUUUUACAAUUGAUUUAGAAGAUUUGCGUAGUUUCAAAAUAUAUGAUGUCUAAACGUACGGGUAUCUUUUUCAUUUUAUAAAAAAACGUUUCAAAUAUAUGAUAUAAAUUUUAGUAUUAUAAAUUGUAUAACUCUCUAUAAUCUUAUUUUAUAAGUUUUUAUUCAAUAUUAUUAAUAUGUAAAGAUCUGUUUUAUAUAUUUUACUUUGUUACUAAUUGUUAUUACAUACUAAUAUAUUGUUGAGUCAUGUACAAUAAAUUCAUAAUAUGAAAUAAAAAUAUUUGUAAAAAUAUGGUUAUUAAUUUCUAAAAUUUGCAUACAAUACAUUUUUAAGGUUUAUUUAUAUAUACUAUAGAAAUGGUAUUUGUUUAAGAUAAUUUAGAUCUUCAUAGUUUAUAUUUUCAUGUUGUGUUUAAAAAAUAUACUUAAACAUCUAUCAUUUUAGUAUAGUUAGAGAUUUCAUAAGUAAAUGCAUUGUUCUAUUGUUGACAAAAAAAAAUACAUUGUUCUAUUUUUCUGUUUAAAUAAUUUAGCCCUAUUAUUUUAGAAAAUUUUAUAAUAAAUUUAAGAAAUUUUUGAUAAGAUUUUUCUCAACGGAUUCUGUUAUAGUUAAAAAUAAACAUUAAGUUUAUACUUAAAAUUUAUUUGUCAUUAAUAUCUUUAAUGAAUUAUUAAAAUUAAUUUUUUUCUAAUAGCAUACUUUGUAAAUAACACAUGAAAAAUGUUAGUUAUAAACUAUUAUAUUUUGUAUAUAAUUAUUUCUAGGUAGCAAUUGUUAUGAGUCUGUUUUCGUUUGAUUACAAAAAAAACAUAUUGUUGUGAGUUUCAAAAUAAAUAAAAUAAUAAUAUAUAUAAAAAAUUAACAUAUGUUAAUUAUUUUAUUUAUUGUAUAAAAAUAUUACAUAGGUUAUAAAUUUUAAUAUAUAUUGGAUUUUUCGUAUUUUUAAUAAAUAGAAUAUCAACAUAAAUCAAGUUUUGCCAUAUUAUUUAAUUAAUGUAAGUGACAAAAUCGAUACACGUUAAUUAAAUAUAGUCAUAUAGUAUUAAAUUUAUGAAAAAGGUCAUUAGCAGAUGAUUUGUAUGACUAUUAUUACGUGGCCAUUUGAAAAUUGUAAGUGAUUAGUGAAUAUUUAUUAUAUAAUUUAUUAAAUAGAUUGUUUGGAAUCAAGAUUGGGGAGAUCUUAAUAACUUAAUUUUAAUUUCUAUUUAUUUAUAUCCUUAAUUUUUCUGGUCUAACAUUUAAUUAAGAAAAUAACUUUAAUGAAUUAAUUUCGGCAAUAAGCGUUUACACUCUAGUUCUUGGUCUGACCACCAAGAUCACAGCCUCAGAUCCCAACAGCUCGAUUCCCUUUUCUCCACAUGUCACCAUGGCGUGGCUCACGCUCGAGUUCCAACGGUUUAAUCAUCGGAAGUGAACGAAACUUCUUGAGCAGGCUAGUGUUUUUCUGUGGUCUUCACGAGGUAAUGCUUCUGUGGUGUAGGGUGAUCGUGAGACCAGUGGUGGACAGCACGUUGAUUGGAGGAGACGCCGGUCACCACCGGAGAGAAGAGACGGUGGUGGAUAGAGUGGCUUUGGCCGUGAGCUGUGGGACGUUGUGGUGGUGGAAGCUUCGGGAUGAAAUAGAGGCUUUAGUUGGUGUGGCAGAGGCUAAAAGAGCAUUGUUGUUAUUAUUACCAACCGAUGGUAAUGCUAACGUUAGUUUGGAUGUGGGAACGGUUGAUUUUGUGAAUUGGUGGUUAUACUAUAUGGUUGUGAUGAUUGGUAUGGUUAGGAUCGUUAAAGGGUCUUUGUGGUUCGGAAUGAUUUUGCUUUUCGAACAAGGUAGUAGAAGAAAUCCACGUGGAAAUGCCAGUGCUACUCAUGUUUCUACAACUUCUUCUGUUCAUUAUGACGAUGAAGGUGACACUAAAGUGUAAUAAGUAACAAUUGGUUAUAGGGUCACAAGUGGGGAAUGCAAUUUUUUUGUGUGUGUUUUGGAUCCAAGUUCUUACACCUAAUAUACGAAGGUUCAAGUUGAUAUUUGUAAUGAGAAAGAUGUUAACAAGUUCAUUACUGGAAUGAAAUUUGAUAGAAUCAUAAAAAAAAACAUUAGCACCAGCAAUAGGGCUGGGAUCAUGUAUUGGGGUUGGUUUCGGGGAAUGUUACAAAAAAAAAAAAAAAAAAAAAGGCAGACAUAGAAUGUUAGUGUCUGUCUAUCAGUUAGGUUAGGCCGACCAAACUUGUUACUCACCCCCUUGUUAGGCCUCAAGGGAAAACGAAAAACUCAAGUUAAUAAUAAAUAGACCGGGCUAAGAAGUGAGCCCAGUGAGUCGGGUGGGAAAAUAUUAUAAUAUCCACUAGAGUAGAGUAGACCAUUUUUAAUUCAGUUCAGCUUAUUUGUUCGCGUUGUUCGUCUCCUCCUUCUCCGCACCACAUCCGACUUGGUAAAUCCCCAAAUCCAUCAUUCUUGAUCUCUCUGUUUAUUGCUUUUGAUUUCUUGUUUUAUGCCGAUCCUUCUUCUAGAACAAGUACUGAUGAGAUUUCUUAAUUAGUUGAUUCGGAUUUCGAUUCCUAGCCGAUGUGCUUCAAAGAUGUAAUUUUGGAUCGCUUCAUUGAUAUUGAAACAAAGUCUUUGAUUAGCUAAUCACCGAUUGCCUCAAGAAGUAAGAUCCAUAGGCUAUUAUUGUCCAUUGAUCCAAGUGUUCAUCAUUGAUAUGUCCAUUAAGAAAGAACUGUUGUGAACUUGUGAUAAAAAUGAGAGUCUACCUUUGUUUUAUAUGAAUUUGGUCAUGCAUUAUAUUUCUAGCUUUUUGGUGAUGAUUGAUUGUAUACUUUUCAUGUUUGAUUCGUGGUGUAAUAGUAUGUUUGUAUAUAUAGUCAAUAGUACAUUUAUUGUUUGAUCCCAUCUAAUAUCCAUUUUUCUAUAUGCGAGUUGUUUGUUGUGAAUCACAUUUCCAGCUUUGGUGUAUUGAAAAUUGUAGGAAGUACUGAUUCAUGUUUGAUCUUUUCUUUUGGGUUGUACUGUAUCAGUUUGAUAGGCUGAGAAAUCAAAGAGAUGGCAGGACACAGGGUUGCACAUGCCACACUUAAAGGGCCUAGCGUUGUGAAGGAGUUAAUCAUCGGUAUGGCACUCGGUUUAGCUGCUGGUGGUCUUUGGAAGAUGCACCAUUGGAAUGAACAGAGGAAAACCAGAGCCUUCUACGACUUGCUUGAGAGAGGUGAGAUCAGUGUUAUUGCCGCCGAAGAGUAAUAAAAGCUCUGCUCACAGACUCAUUCUUCAAAGACUGAUGGAUGAUUUCGAAUUCUAUUUUUUUUGUUUCUGUUUAUAAUAACUCUGAGAUGAGUUUGGAUUUUGUGAGAAAUAAACAAAUCUGAGAAUGAGAUUUGGUAGAUCAUAAACUGAUUUUAGUGUGAUGGUCGAUUCAGACAAGCUUCCUUGUUUUGUUUUGUUUUGUUUAAAAAGUUAGUAUUAUUUUAUGGAACCUUAUUCAUGGAAUUUGUGCAUUUGACAAUGUUUCCAACUCAUGAUAUUAUUUGGAAUCAGAAUCUUUGAAAGGAAAAUAUAGCUUGUGUUGCAUCUGUGAUCUGCCAUUGCUUUGUCUCCUGUUUCUUCAAGAGACUGAAAAAGCAUAACCAGGAUAGAUAUCUGAAUGUCUUUACGGCUGAGUUUUGUAAAAAAUAAAAAUUAAUACCUAAAAUAUAAAGUGUUGUGGAAUAAAUAUCUGAAUACACAUGGUGCAAUACGCUUGGUUGCUAGGAGAUAAGAAAAUCGUGAUCACAGAGUUCUGUAUUUAUCUUCUUCUCCUCCCUACAUCAAAAAAAUUAUCUCCUCCUCCCAUCAAAACUCUCCAAAGAUGACAACAGUAGCCGCAACAGGUAUCAACGUCGCGACUCCACGACUGGUCAUUCGACCAGCGGCUCGUCUAUACGCCCCGGUCCGUUUGAAUUACCCGUGGAAAUUCGGUUCGAUGAACCGGAUGGUUACGUCGGUGAAGGCGACAUCGGAAGGAGGGAUGAUAUCGGAUAAGGUGGAGAAGAGUAUUCAGGAAGCGAAGGAGACUUGCGCUGACGAUCCUGUGAGCGGAGAGUGUGUGGCGGCGUGGGACGAGGUGGAGGAGCUGAGCGCCGCGGCGAGUCACGCUAGGGACAAGAAGAAAGCUGGUGGAUCCGAUCCUUUGGAAGAAUACUGCAGUGAUAAUCCUGAGACUGAUGAGUGUCGUACUUAUGACAACUGAAAAUGUUUUUUCUAUCUUGUUGCUGUCGUCUGUGUUUGGUUUGGUUCGUAUGGUGCUUUUCUUUUUGUUUGGUUUUCGUAAGUUGUAAUGUGAUAAUGAAUAUGAUGAAUAUUACAACUACAAUACUCAUCAGGUGUUUCAUUAAUUCGCUGUGUUUCGUGAGGUGUACUAUAGUUUGAUGCCUGAAAAUGUUUUUGAUGUCUGAAAAUUUAGGUACCGGUUACGCGAAGAUGUUUAUUUUACUCGCAGCUAAAUUUUGUUUUUUUUUUUAACUUAUUCCACUGAUGCUAAACAUUUUCAAACAAAAUAAAAUAAAAGUAAUUAGCUUAAAUUAAGAUUCAAACGAAUAAAAUAAAAAAUGACCCGC
Molecule: long non-coding RNA, 18874 nt
Filed under: Brassica napus (rape)
Lineage: Eukaryota; Viridiplantae; Streptophyta; Magnoliopsida; Brassicales; Brassicaceae
Description: long non-coding RNA (BNAP_LNC002948)
Source: RNAcentral